This 256-nucleotide ribosomal RNA is filed under the name uncultured bacterium. RNAcentral's name for it is "partial 16S ribosomal RNA". It matches the Rfam family "Bacterial small subunit ribosomal RNA", at positions 524 to 777 of the family's 1533-position model. The record is from RNAcentral.
UACGAAGGGGGGCUAGCGUUGCUCGGAAUCACUGGGCGUAAAGGGCGCGUAGGCGGGUCUUUUAAGUCAGGGGUGAAAUCCUGGAGCUCAACUCCAGAACUGCCUUUGAUACUGAGGAUCUUGAGUUCGGGAGAGGUGAGUGGAACUGCGAGUGUAGAGGUGAAAUUCGUAGAUAUUCGCAAGAACACCAGUGGCGAAGGCGGCUCACUGGCCCGAUACUGACGCUGAGGCACGAAAGCGUGGGGAGCAAACAGGG